Molecule: ribosomal RNA, 499 nt
Filed under: uncultured bacterium
Lineage: Bacteria
Description: bacterial SSU rRNA
Rfam family: Bacterial small subunit ribosomal RNA
Source: RNAcentral
ACUCAAAGGAAUUGACGGGGGCCCGCACAAGCGGUGGAGCAUGUGGUUUAAUUCGAUGCAACGCGAAGAACCUUACCAAGCCUUGACAUGGAGACCGAUGGCGCAGAGAUGCGUCAGCCCUUCGGGGGGUCUCACACAGGUGGUGCAUGGUUGUCGUCAGCUCGUGUCGUGAGAUGUUGGGUUAAGUCCCGCAACGAGCGCAACCCUUACCUUUAGUAGCCAUCGAGUAGAGUCGGGCACUUUAGAGGGACUGCCGUUGAUAAAACGGAGGAAGGCGGGGAUGACGUCAAAUCAUCAUGCCCUUUAUGGCUUGGGCUACACACGUGCUACAAUGGACCUAACAAAGUGAAGCGAGAUAGCGAUAUUAAGCAAACCACAAAAAAGGGUCCUUAGUUCGGAUUGCAGUCUGCAACUCGACUGCAUGAAGCCGGAAUCGCUAGUAAUCGCGAAUCAUCAUGUCGCGGUGAAUACGUUCCCGGGCCUUGUACACACCGCCCGU